CCUACGGGUGGCAGCAGUGAGGAAUUUUCCGCAAUGGGCGAAAGCCUGACGGAGCAAUGCCGCGUGGAGGAAGACGGCCCGUGGGUUGUAAACUCCUUUUCUCAGAGAAGCGGUAUCUGAGGAAUAAGCAUCGGCUAACUCCGUGCCAGCAGCCGCGGUAAUACGGAGGAUGCAAGCGUUAUCCGGAAUCAUUGGGCGUAAAGGGUCCUGAGGUGGUUUGCCCAGUCUACUGUGAAAGAUCAGGGCUCAACCCUGAAAAUGCGGUGGAAACUAGCAGGCUAGAAUACGGUAGGGGCAGGGGGAAUUCCCGGUGUAGCGGUGAAAUGCAUAGAUAUCGGGAAGAACACCAAUGGCGAAAGCACCCUGCUGGGCCGAAUUGACACUGCAGACGAAAGCUAGGGGAGCAAAUGGGAUUAGAUACCCUUGUAGUC
RNAcentral lists this ribosomal RNA (431 nucleotides) under uncultured bacterium. RNAcentral's name for it is "partial 16S ribosomal RNA". It matches the Rfam family "Bacterial small subunit ribosomal RNA", at positions 338 to 795 of the family's 1533-position model. The record is from RNAcentral.